Molecule: ribosomal RNA, 490 nt
Filed under: uncultured bacterium
Lineage: Bacteria
Description: partial 16S ribosomal RNA
Rfam family: Bacterial small subunit ribosomal RNA
Source: RNAcentral
AUUGAACGCUGGCGGCAGGCCUAACACAUGCAAGUCGAAUGGUAACAGGAAACAGCUUGCUGUUUCGCUGACGAGUGGCGGACGGGUGAGUAAUGUCUGGGAAACUGCCUGAUGGAGGGGGAUAACUACUGGAAACGGUAGCUAAUACCGCAUAACGUCGCAAGACCAAAGAGGGGGACCUUCGGGCCUCUUGCCAUCAGAUGUGCCCAGAUGGGAUUAGCUAGUAGGUGGGGUAACGGCUCACCUAGGCGACGAUCCCUAGCGGGUCUGAGAGGAUGACCAGCCACACUGGAACUGAGACACGGUCCAGACUCCUACGGGAGGCAGCAGUGGGGAAUAUUGCACAAUGGGCGCAAGCCUGAUGCAGCCAUGCCGCGUGUAUGAAGAAGGCCUUCGGGUUGUAAAGUACUUUCAGCGGGGAGGAAGGGAGUAAAGUUAAUACCUUUGCUCAUUGACGUUACCCGCAGAAGAAGCACCGGCUAACUCCGUG